RNAcentral lists this long non-coding RNA (2549 nucleotides) under Canis lupus familiaris (dog). RNAcentral describes it as "lncRNA (ENSCAFG00030008091.1)". Lineage: Eukaryota; Metazoa; Chordata; Mammalia; Carnivora; Canidae. The record is from RNAcentral.
CAGAUCUUCAAGAAUAUGACCUUACAAUUCCUUUUUUAAACAGGGCAAGGAGCUAACGACCCAACAAAAGGAAGAGGAUGAAUCUGGAACGUGUGCUAAGCUUUUGGUUUUCUUGGCCAAACAAGCAUCACACGAAUGUGCUUUGGCCACAUCUGCCCGACUUUGCUGACUCGCUGUUUUGUUCACUCUUACUCUGAAAGUUUUAUAUAUAUAUUUUUUCAAAGUCUUCUUUUAUCACAAUUUGAUACUCAUGGGCUGAUUCCCGCCUGAGGCAGCUCCUACCACCAGGGGUGGCAUUCUCUGGUUGUUGGUGAGUUUUAAGCAGGAAGAGAAACUGGUCUGUAAGGGCCUCAGCCUGGAAUGCAUGGGCCGGAGCCAAGGCAAAGUGCGCUCAGGCCCCACGAACCGGGACGAGAGCCCCAGCACAGACAGGAGCCGAGGUGAACUCGUCUGGGUCUCACUUUCCGCUCAGCUCAGCACAGACGGCUUGGGAGGUGCACACGUAGCAGAAUGGGAUGAAGGUCAAGUUAAGGUUCUCCGGAACAACGGGGAGGUAGCAGGCGAUCUGCUCCCCCCAGGAAGGCGGCCUUUCCUGGCAUACGACAGUCUUCAUUCCUCCCUGUGGGCAAGCUCUGCACUGCUAGCAACUCACCGACCCACUUGGCUCAGGACGACUGCUGUGUGUCACCGAGGUGUGUCUGCAGGCUCUUUGGUCAGUUCCUGGACAACAGUGACCACAGCGACCACAGCGACCACAGUGACCUGAUAAAUGAAGCUCCCUACGUUUGGACAUUCAACGGACCGUCCUCCUCCAUUCGUGCUCUUCUACGGUGUCUGGCUGUUCUUGGCCUUUUACAUUUCCACCUACAUCUUGGAAACAGUGACCCAACAGAAAACAAAAAUCUAAAACCAGUAUCACUAAGUUGGGGUUUUCACUGGGGGUGCCCUGAGUCUACAGGUCAUUUGGGGAGAAAUGCAUAUUUGCAAUAUAGAGCUUUCUUCCUUUUUCAUGUAGUUAAAUCCUCCAUAUGUUUCUCUCAGUAAAGUUCUAUAUUUCUCUCCAUAUAGGUUUAUACAUUUUUUGAUUCUUUGUAUUUCUACAAAUUUGAUAUUUCUUGGUGCUAUGGUAAGUAUUAAUUUUUGAAAAUACUCAUUUUUUGCUUAUUGCUGAUGUAUAGGAACAAAAUAGAUUUUAUCUCCUAUAAUCUUUGUUUUCCUUGCUAACCUUACUAGUUUUAGUAAUUGAUCUGUAGAACUUCUGAACUUCUGAAAAUUUUGUGAUCAUAAUCACAACACCUGAAAUUGUAGGAGUUUCAUUUUUCCCAUUGCGAUCUUUAUAUAUUUUCUUUCUUUCUCUUACUGUUUUGGGCUGACGAGCCCCCCCACCCCGGUAUGUUGAAUAAAAAGUGGUGAUAGUGGGUAUUCUUGUCUUUUUCCUGAUGUCAGAAAGUAGAUGCCAGUGAUUUAUUGUUAUUAAGUACAAUGUUCUCUGUGGCCUUUUCUUGUGUUUUUUUUUUUUUUUCUUUGUCAAUCUCUUUAUCAUGUAAAGGAAGUCUGUUUCUCUUCCUAGCAAAAUUUUGGAAGGUUGGGCCCCAGUGACCUGGUCUGCAAUUGCCAGAAUUGGAAGCUGUUAGUACUUCUAGGCCUAGAUUCCAGGAAGGGAAGCUGGUGUAGCUGGUCCUGGGCUUGCAGAAAGCAGAGCUGAGUCCUGGUGGUGAGAGGACACAGGGCACCUCCGCUCAGAGCGGGGUUGGGGGGCGCAUGGGCAGGAACCACAGUGGCUGUGGUAGGAGGGGGCUCUGAGGACACUGGGCACGGGAGCCCAACGCCACGUAUGAUGCCAGCCACUCUAAACCAUCUACGUAGACCACGUUAUAUGGAACUCCUUCUGCCUGGUGGUGUUCGGGAAGGCUUCCUGUGGAAGUUAUAUUUGAACCGGGUUUCAAGGGGUGGAAAUAACAGGUGUUCCCUAGAUUGGAGGAACAGAGAAAGCAGGUGAGGAGAGCCUGGGGGACCUGGUGGAGUGCCCUUUGGCUCCUUGACACAGUCCAUGCUUUCCUGCCUCCUUUCUGCUCUCACGUAUGAGCAGUCACCAGUGUAGGUCCAAUUCCGAAUGGGAGCUCACAGCAAAGGAUGUUUAAUUAUGUCUCAAAAGCCCGAGUGCCAGAGAGGGGUGAGUAGUCAGGGUUCUCGUGUGUGUACGGGGAAGUGUGUGGAGGCUGGGAAGCUGCAGCCUCUGCAGCCGUCUGCAGGUGGGAGACCCAGGAGAGCAGGUGGCCUUGUGCAGCCCAGGUCCCCAGGCCUGGGAGCCGGGGAGCCAACAGUGUGAGCCCCAGUCUAGAGAAGACGCAGGGGCAGAGGUGGGUCAGUGCACCCUUCUUCUGCCUUUGUUCUAUCGGGCUGUUCACAUGGCAGGUGACAUGCACCCAACUGGGGAGGGCGGGCUGCUUUCCUCCUCGGUGGGUUCCAGUGCUCAUACAGCCAUGUUACUGUCAAACUGUGGCAAGGGGUCUGAGGCCUGGAGAGGAACCAGGAGAGCUGGUUUGCUG